AUGUUAGCGGCGGACGGGUGAGUAACACGUGGGUAACCUGCCUGUAAGACUGGGAUAACUCCGGGAAACCGGGGCUAAUACCGGAUGCUUGUUUGAACCGCAUGGUUCAAACAUAAAAGGUGGCUUCGGCUACCACUUACAGAUGGACCCGCGGCGCAUUAGCUAGUUGGUGAGGUAAUGGCUCACCAAGGCAACGAUGCGUAGCCGACCUGAGAGGGUGAUCGGCCACACUGGGACUGAGACACGGCCCAGACUCCUACGGGAGGCAGCAGUAGGGAAUCUUCCGCAAUGGACGAAAGUCUGACGGAGCAACGCCGCGGGAGUGAUGAAGGUUUUCGGAUCGUAAAGCUCUGUUGUUAGGGAAGAACAAGUACCGUUCGAAUAGGGCGGUACCUUGACGGUACCUAACCAGAAAGCGGCACGGCUAACUACGUGCCAGCAGCCGCGGUAAUACGUAGGUGGCAAGCGUUGUCCGGAAUUAUUGGGCGUAAAGGGCUCGCAGGCGGUUUCUUAAGUCUGAUGUGAAAG
This 528-nucleotide ribosomal RNA is filed under the name Bacillus spizizenii. Its description in RNAcentral is "bacterial SSU rRNA". It matches the Rfam family "Bacterial small subunit ribosomal RNA", at positions 89 to 600 of the family's 1533-position model. The record is from RNAcentral. Lineage: Bacteria; Bacillati; Bacillota; Bacilli; Caryophanales; Bacillaceae.